UUUAUCCCCUUCUUCAUACUGCAUCAUAUCAUGCCUAGAGGUCCAUGCCAGGAGGGCCAUGCCUAGAGAGCCAUGCAAAGAGGAUUAUGCCGAGAGGGCCAUGCCUAAAUGGCCAUUCCAAAAAGAUCAUGCUAUAAGGGUCGUGUCCUGAGAAUCAUAUUGCCUUCUCCGACUAGUUUCGAAGGGGCUACAAUCCAAGGGCAUCUACAUAUUGCAUUUGAUGCCCAUGAUUGAUUCAAAGUCUUCUAUAUCCGUUGAUCAUAUAAAGACGAAAGAGUCUAUUAUUGAAGGAUAUUCUAAAGCGUUUCAUACAUAUCCGAUAAUCAUAUGAAGAUAAAAGAGUCUAGCAUUGAAGGAUACUCCGAAGCAUCCACAUAUAAUCAAAUCACGCAAAGGCAAAGUAGUAUGGCAUUGAGAGAUAUUCAUCGUCUUCAAGUGCAUCAAUCACUAAAGAUUUAAUGUCAUUCACUAUUAGAUCUCAAGAAAUAUAUGGUCCAUAGGAUGUUUAUAAGUCACUAGCCGAAAACGUGCACGUACUAGAUUUUCCAAGAAUUGACAAUCUGAGGGUCAUCUAUAAGUGACAUUAUUUGAUAUAGGAUAGUGUGAAAGAUUAUCCACGAGUUGAUAGCCCAUGGGUCAUCCGUAAGCCGCAAAAUAUCCUAAUCGGAUAGUGUGCAAGGUUACCCGAAGAUUGACAAUUUGAAGGUUAUCCGUAAGUCACAACUAAAUCCUUAUCAGAAAAUAUUCAAGAUUAUCAAAUAUGAUAGGUCCAAGGGUUUUCUAUAAGCCAUGUCAUAUCCAAGAUCGAUUAUGCGCAGGAUUACGCAAAGACCACUAAUUUGAGAGAUAUUUGUAAGCCAUAUUGUAUUCAAGGUCGGAUAAUGUACAGGAAUACAUGAUAGAUGGCGAUUGGAGGGAUAUUUGUAAGUCAUCUCUUAUCCAAGGUCGAAUAAUGUGCGGGAUUACUCAAACGCCAAGGAGCUCAAAGGAUGUCUACAAGUCGCCGCGUAUCUAACAUUAAAUAAUGCACAAGAUUAUCCAAAAAUUGAUAAUUCAAGGGGAAAUCUAUAAGUCGUACCACUACAAGAGGUGCACAAGACUCUUGAGGUCAAAUACGACAAGCAUUAUAGGUGACCAAAAGGGUUGCCACACAAUCAUAUAGAUAUGCGGUUGCAGGGACCGCUCCAUACAAAGUGUCGUCGGUGCCUAAGAGGCCCACCCCACUUUGAAGAAAAUUUAUAACCGUCAAAAUAACCAUUUUAUCCAACACUGUGUUGAUUAUUGCAAGAAUUAUCACCCUCCAAACAGGUACAUAAGGGGAUGAUAUCUUCGUUAAGUAGCAACUCACGCGGAGAUACGGUAAAAGGCUAUAAAUCCCUUAGUGAAUUAUGUUUAUUACUAACAAUUUUGUUUGAGAUGUUGUCAAGAGCAUCCAAGAGGAUGAAAAUCUCAAACCAAAACCAUAGGUGCGGAUGACUAAAAAAAGAACGCAACACAACGUGAAACUUUUUCUUAGCAGCGAACUGGGACAUAGUCCAAAGAGGAAUAUCAAAUUCUUAGGACGCAAGCUAAAAGACGACUUCCACCACCAUUAAACCAUAUCACUAUCAGAAGGCUUGUGGGUGUUUUGGGAUUUUUGUUUCAGUUUCACUUUUGGAGUACUUCAAAUCUUAGACCGAGGGUAACCUUCUUUUUCCUUCAAAUCAGAGUGACAACACACUCAGAGUUUGGAAAUUGUGUCGGGGUAAAUUCUUCCCCAUGGAUGUAAAGAGCUCCAUAUUCAUGGUUAAGAGGUUACAAACCUCUUUUCCAUAACUUAAUCGUCUGUUACUCAUCCCGGUCCAAAGAUUGUCUAAAAUAAAAGACUAUCUUUUCUACCAAUUGAGUCGAACUACAAGAAGUCUGAUUUCCUGAGUCUCAGGGAUAUGUAGGUUAGGAUCUUCGUUGAAAACUCGACUGCAUUCCAACCUUCCCCAAUCCACUUAUUCUCCACCUUAUUUUUAACACCUUAUUUUUUCCCUGCACGACUAAGUUCAAUACUGAGUUUCUUUGAUUUUUAAUAAAAUGACAACAUUCAACAUUUAUUUUAUCCAAAUAAAAAUUUUUCAAAAUAUUUAUCUAGGUAAUUUUAGUCAUUUUAAUUAACUAUUACAUGUUUUUUUAGUUCCAUAUAUGAGAUCAUAUAAUUUUACAAAAAAUUAAAUUUUAAUCAAGGGUUAUCUAGAAUAUGGAUUCAAAUGGAUAAAUCCUUGAUUUAAAAAAUAAUUUAUCCUUAAAAUAAUUUAUUUAAAAAAUAUUUAUUUGAUUUUAUUGAAUCAAGAAGCUUGGGAUUGAAUUGGUUGUUAAUUUGUUUCAAAUAUUAUUUCAAUUUAGUUAAUUUAUUAAAUUAAAACUUAAUUGAAAAUCAAAUUGAUCAUAAUUGACAUGCAAUUGAUCAAUUGAAUUUUAAUUAGGAUAAAAUUUAAAUAUAAUUGUCUAAACUCUCAUUUUGACUAUUUAACAAAUGACCUAAACCCCCAAUUCCUAAUCUACCCAAAAUUUGACCCAUGUUCCUAAAUAGCACAAGACUAGACCAACAACAAUAAAAACCAAAUCAGCAGCCCAAAAAUAUCCUAAAUACCCAGCCCACAUCAAAUCAAUCCACCAGCAGCCCAAAAACCGAUCCGGCCCAAAUCCCUUAAGUUUCCCAAAUAGCCUCAAUACACACCUAUACGUACAUACACCACACGCACACAAGCGCCUCACCUCUAUUAUCUCUCUCCGACUUCUUUCUCUCCCAAAAAACAUCGACUUUAGCAAACCACCAACACACCCAAUGAAGAACAACCCAGCACCGACGAUCCCAAAUAUAGCGUCGGCGAUCCGACAUCAACGAAGAAACAGCAACAGCUGCUAUAUCAAUAUCAAUAGCAGCUGCUACAAAAUUUCCAACCCGACCCAACACGCGAAUAGUUUCAUUCAACCCAAUGGUAAUGACCCUUAAAUCACGAAAAACAUCUCUCUCCAUCUUUGUCUCUGCAUUUUGCAGACCUAGAGCCAUCCUUUUUGACUUUCUUGCUCAAGAUUGUGUGUUACAAAACCCAAAAUCCAAUCCAAAUCAGAAGAUGUCAAUUCAAAUCUGAAUUUCAGGAUAUGUUUCUCUAUUUUUAAAGAUGAAAAAUCAAUAUUCCCCCCUAUAAAUAGGGAUUGAGAAGAAGAAGGCAAGGAGAGAAUUCUUGGGGGAAAAUUGGGGGUUCUGAAGAAUCGGGUUUCAGUGGUGGAAGUUGCAACUUGAUAAGAUCGUUUGUUCCGUUCGCUGCCCGAGAACAAUCCAAUAUCAUCGAGUCAUACUUCAAGGCCCAAAAGUGGGUAGGUCAAGUUGAAGAAGAUGUGUAGCUAAACGCUUCAUAAGGGAGCUAGUAUAUAGGUGGAAGACCCAAAAUUCAUUUAUAUAUGACAAAUGUGCGGUCACCAAACAUACAAAGCAUGGAGAAUAGGGGUUGUGUACGUGUGGUAAAAUGAUCAAAGUCUAUAAAAUGGGAAGCCCAAAGCUGGGCAGCUCAGUGAUAGGCCAAAAGUGGCCCAACGCUUACCUUAAUCUUUUAUUCUCUUAUGAAUUGUCACUUGUAUAAUUGUCUAUUUGUAUUAGUUCUAAUUUUACUUAA
Molecule: long non-coding RNA, 3644 nt
Organism: Capsicum annuum
Lineage: Eukaryota; Viridiplantae; Streptophyta; Magnoliopsida; Solanales; Solanaceae
Exons: 3
Source: RefSeq, a predicted model, not a curated record